Molecule: ribosomal RNA, 166 nt
Filed under: uncultured bacterium
Lineage: Bacteria
Description: partial 16S rRNA
Rfam family: Bacterial small subunit ribosomal RNA
Source: RNAcentral
UAGGGAAUCUUCGGCAAUGGGGGCGAACCCUGACCGAGCAACGCCGCGUGAGUGAAGAAGGUUUUCGGAUCGUAAAGCUCUGUUGUAAGAGAAGAGCGUGUGUGAGAGUGGAAAGUUCACACAGUGACGGUAACUUACCAGAAAGGGACGGCUAACUACGUGCCCG